RNAcentral lists this unclassified non-coding RNA (541 nucleotides) under Hevea brasiliensis (rubber tree). Lineage: Eukaryota; Viridiplantae; Streptophyta; Magnoliopsida; Malpighiales; Euphorbiaceae. The record is from RNAcentral.
AGAUCCAAGAGAAGAACAUGACAAGCUGCAACCAUGUUAAGCCCAAGGCUUGCAGCUUUCAGAGACAUGAUUAUGACCGACACCUCAGGAAGUGUGUUAAAAUCUUUGACAGCCUUGUCUCUAGCAAGAACAGACAUUGUUCCAUCAAGUCUACGGUACUGAAUUGAGGAAUUUUUUAGACAAGCUUCAAGUAAAUCUAACAUCCCCGUCCACUGAGAAAAGACAAUUGCCUUCUCUCCAGCUAUUGUGGUUGUGUCUUUGGAACUUGUAUGCGCACUGGAUUCUCCAGCAUGAUUAUCACAUGUAUUUUCUGAAGGAGAAGCUCCUUCAUCGUCUGAUCCUGAAAGGCGACCACUAAGAGUGCAAGACUUAGCUUUAGGCAGAGACUGCAGCACCUGAAGAGCAGCUUUAAUCUUUGAUGAAUCAUAUGGACUACGAUUUAAACUUUCAGCCACAUCAGAGCCAGCACAGUCAGGGUUAUUUUGCAGCCUGGGUUGACCAGAUAGAAAAUCGCUUAACAUUGCUUUAGUGAAAACUGAAG